GUCCACGCUGUAAACGAUGAGGACUCGAUGUUGGUAGGGGAACCUAUCAGUAUCAAAGCUAACGCGAUAAGUCUUCCGCCUGGGAAGUACGGCCGCAAGGUUGAAACUCAAAUGAAUUGACGGGGCCGCACAAGCGGUGGAGCAUGUGGUUUAAUUCGAUGCAACGCGAAGAACCUUACCUACCCUUGACAUCCUGCGAAUCCUGAUGAGAGUUGGGAGUGCCGAAAGGAGCGCAGAGACAGGUGCUGCAUGGCUGUCGU
Molecule: ribosomal RNA, 260 nt
Filed under: uncultured bacterium
Lineage: Bacteria
Description: partial 16S ribosomal RNA
Rfam family: Bacterial small subunit ribosomal RNA
Source: RNAcentral